AAACUAACAAGGAUUCCCCUAGUAACGGCGAGUGAAGCGGGAAGAGCUCAAAUUUGAAAUCUAGUAGCCUUCGGCUGCUCGAGUUGUAAUCUAGAGAAGUGUUUUCCGUGCCGGCCCAUGUACAAGUCCCUUGGAACAGGGCGUCAUAGAGGGUGAGAAUCCCGUCCUUGACAUGGACCCCCGGUGCUCUGUGAUACACUUUCAACGAGUCGAGUUGUUUGGGAAUGCAGCUCAAAAUGGGUGGUGAAUUCCAUCUAAAGCUAAAUAUUGGCGAGAGACCGAUAGCGAACAAGUACCGUGAGGGAAAGAUGAAAAGCACUUUGGAAAGAGAGUUAAACAGUACGUGAAAUUGUUGAAAGGGAAACGAUUGAAGUCAGUCAUGCUCUUUGGUAUUUAUAUCAUUGAGUGGGGUCAACAUCAGUUUUGAUCGAUGGAUAAAGGCACUAGGAAGGUAGCACUCUCGGGUGAACUUAUAGCCUGGCGUCAUAUACAUUGAUUGGGACUGAGGAACGCAGCAUGCCUUUAUGGCCGGGAUUCGUCCACGUACAUGCUUAGGAUGUUGACAUAAUGGCUUUAAACGAC
RNAcentral lists this ribosomal RNA (582 nucleotides) under Naganishia liquefaciens. RNAcentral's name for it is "eukaryotic LSU rRNA". It matches the Rfam family "Eukaryotic large subunit ribosomal RNA", at positions 62 to 648 of the family's 3401-position model. Lineage: Eukaryota; Fungi; Basidiomycota; Tremellomycetes; Filobasidiales; Filobasidiaceae. The record is from RNAcentral.